This 444-nucleotide ribosomal RNA is filed under the name uncultured bacterium. RNAcentral describes it as "partial 16S ribosomal RNA". It matches the Rfam family "Bacterial small subunit ribosomal RNA", at positions 338 to 795 of the family's 1533-position model. The record is from RNAcentral.
CCUACGGGAGGCAGCAGUGGGGAAUAUUGGGCAAUGGAGGCAACUCUUACCCAGCAAUGCCGCGUGAAUGAAGAAGGUCUUCGGAUUGUAAAGUUCUUUAAUUGGGGACGAAAAAAAUGACGGUACCCAAGGAAUAAGCCCCGGCUAACUACGUGCCAGCAGCCGCGGUAAUACGUAGGGGGCAAGCGUUGUUCGGAAUGACUGGGCGUAAAGGGUGUGUAGGCGGUGUAGCAAGUUAGAAGUGAAAUACCUAGAGCUUAACUCAGGUGCUGCUUCUAAAACUGCUAUACUUGAGUGCAGUAGAGGAAAGUGGAAUUCCUAGUGUAGCGGUGGAAUGCGUAGAUAUCACGCAGAACCCCGAUUGCGAAGGCAGCAUACCGGUGCACAACUGACGCUCAGGCACGAAAGCGUGGGUAUCGAACAGGAUUAGAUACCCCGGUAGUC